UGGGGAAUUUUGGACAAUGGGCGCAAGCCUGAUCCAGCAAUGCCGCGUGUGUGAAGAAGGUCUUCGGAUUGUAAAGCACUUUAAGUUGGGAGGAAGGGCAGUUACCUAAUACGUUGGUGUCUUGACGUUACCGACAGAAUAAGCACCUGCUAACUCUGUGCCAGCAGCCGCGGUAAUACAGAGGGUGCAAGCGUUAAUCGGAAUUACUGGGCGUAAAGCGCACGUAGGUGGUUCGUUAAGUUGGAUGUGAAAUCCCCGGGCUCAACCUGGGAACUGCAUUCAAAACUGACGAGCUAGAGUAUGGUAGAGGGUGGUGGAAUUUCCUGUGUAGCGGUGAAAUGCGUAGAUAUAGGAAGGAACACCAGUGGCGAAGGCGACCACCUGGACUGAUACUGACACUGAGGUGCGAAAGCGUGGGGAGCAAACA
Molecule: ribosomal RNA, 427 nt
Filed under: uncultured bacterium
Lineage: Bacteria
Description: bacterial SSU rRNA
Rfam family: Bacterial small subunit ribosomal RNA
Source: RNAcentral